Suncus etruscus (white-toothed pygmy shrew) is the source of this 239-nucleotide long non-coding RNA. RefSeq lists it as uncharacterized. The record is from RefSeq and is a predicted model, not a curated record. The transcript has 2 exons. NCBI's taxonomy places the organism in Eukaryota, Metazoa, Chordata, Mammalia, Eulipotyphla, Soricidae.
UUUUUUUUUGUUUGUUUGUUUGUUUUUUAAUUUAAGAGUCAUGCUGCUGAAUAACUGGGCUUUUUUUUUGUUGUUGUUGUUGUAUUCCAAAUUAUUGAAAGCAACUGACUUCAGUUGUUAAUCAUCAAUGAUUAAUAUAACUGUUGAUUUGUGGGUUUUUUAGUGUGAGUGUGAGAAGUUUCACUGUAGACUUCUUAUAUCUUCUAUCAUGUAUUGUACAAUAAAAUACUUUAAUCAAA